GUAGGUGGCAAGCGUUGUCCGGAAUUAUUGGGCGUAAAUCGCGCGCAGGCGGUUUUUAAGUCUGAUGUGAAAGCCCACGGGCUCAACCGUGGAGGGUCAUUGUAAACUGGAGAACCUGAGUACAGAAGAGGAAAGCGGAAUUCCACGUGUAGCGGUGAAAUGCGUAGAGAUGUGGAGGAACACCAGUGGCGAAGGCGGCUUUCUGGUCUGUAACUGACGCUGAGGCGCGAAAGCGUGGGGAGCAAACAGGAUUAGAUACCCUGGUAGUCCACGCCGUAAACGAUGAGUGCUAAGUGUUAGGGGGUUUCCGCCCCUUAGUGCUGCAGCUAACGCAUUAAGCACUCCGCCUGGGGAGUACGGCCGCAAAGGCUG
This 372-nucleotide ribosomal RNA is filed under the name uncultured organism. RNAcentral describes it as "partial 16S ribosomal RNA". It matches the Rfam family "Bacterial small subunit ribosomal RNA", at positions 527 to 896 of the family's 1533-position model. The record is from RNAcentral.